Molecule: non-coding RNA, 1252 nt
Filed under: Pan troglodytes (chimpanzee)
Lineage: Eukaryota; Metazoa; Chordata; Mammalia; Primates; Hominidae
Source: RNAcentral
UUACCUACCGUUGGAACCGCGAUGCCCCGUUCCCUGGCCGCGGCCGCUUCUCCAGGACCCGCGGCGACGGCAAGAGGGCGAGAACUGAGGCCCCAAGUGGCUCCGCGGCCGAGAAGCCUCUUCCUGGGGCGGCCGCUGACGGGAGGUUAAAGCUACGGCUGUGGCGCGGGGCCAGCCCGCAGGUGGCAGUAAAGUGUUUUGUCCAAACUAAAUUACAACGACUACUUCCCAAUAGAUGGAAGCAAAGCGUCUGGACGAAGGAGAGCUUUUUUCUCAUGGUGCUGCUGUGUUAGCCUAGCGACAGCUCUGUAUGGCCCACACCUGGUCCACAGGAAGCUCUCAGGCACCUCUUGCCCGAACAAACUUGGGAGUACAGGCUAAUCCCAGUGCAGAUUCAACAUUCCUCUACUCUGCUGCCAAAACAGCCGCCAGCCUGUGGGAGUCAGACACAGGCCCACGGUGCCCCUCAGACUGCAGGAGGUACAAGUCAAGUGCUCUGAGGAGUUCCAUUGAAGGCCCACUCCCUCGACUUGAAGUAAAAGGCAGGCAGGCACCUGUGGUAAGAAUCACAGCUCACCAGCAACAGUCUCCAAAGACAUUGUCCUCAAUAAUUCUGGUUUGGCCUUUUAUAACUAAAUAACUGAGUAUUUAAUCUACCUGCUUUGUCUAAAUCCUCUGAAAUUUCUAGAGGGGGUCUAUCUCAGAAAUUACUUUAGUUUUUUGGUGGAUGGAGGGAAGAAGAUGGUUUCUUUUGUAAUAAUCUUGUUGCUUCAGUUAAAACAGUGGUUCUCAACUGCGACAAUUUUGGGGGACCAUGUGUGCAGACAUUUUUGGGUUUUUUUUAAACUUUUUUUUUCCUUCUGAAUUCAGGAUCUGCUGAAUACAGACAUUUUUGAUUGUCACCACUGGAGAGGUGCUAUUGGCUGGUGGGAGAAGGUCAAGGAUGCUGGUAAACAUCCUUUACGGCACAGGACAGCCCCUACAGCAAAGAACAGCAAUUCUGUUUGUUACAGAGAUGAGAGAAUACCUCACUAAAAGAAUACUUCAAAAUUACAUCACUUUUUCUUCUUUUUUCCUACAAAUUCUUUACCUGUAGAUGGAAACGUCACAUUUCAAUAUAUCAAUAGAGUCAAAAAUAGCAUUUGCAAUAGCUAUUUGGCCAGGAUGAGAAGUGACUGGUAUAGACCAAUCCUUUGUGUUUCCAAGACUCCCUCUGGAGAUGAGGCCAUGCCAGGAAAAUUAGUACUUGAGA